This 686-nucleotide ribosomal RNA is filed under the name bacterium R11. Its description in RNAcentral is "bacterial SSU rRNA". It matches the Rfam family "Bacterial small subunit ribosomal RNA", at positions 81 to 766 of the family's 1533-position model. The record is from RNAcentral.
UAGAGGCUGGCGACCGGCAAACGGGUGCGGAACACGUACACAACCUUCCUUGAAUAGGGGGAUAGCCCAUAGAAAUGUGGAUUAAUACCCCGUAAUAUAUCGGUGUGGCAUCACACUGUUAUUAUAGUUUCGGCGAUUCGAGAUGGGUGUGCGGCUGAUUAGGUAGUUGGCGGGGUAAAGGCCCACCAAGCCUUCGAUCAGUAGCUGAUGUGAGAGCAUGAUCAGCCACACGGGCACUGAAACACGGGCCCGACUCCUACGGGAGGCAGCAGUAAGGAAUAUUGGUCAAUGGACGCAAGUCUGAACCAGCCAUGCCGCGUGAAGGAUGAAGGUCCUCUGGAUUGUAAACUUCUUUUAUAGGGGGCGAAAAAAGGUCUUUCUAGAUCACUUGACAGUACCCUAUGAAUAAACACCGGCUAACUCCGUGCCAGCAGCCGCGGUAAUACGGAGGGUGCAAGCGUUAUCCGGAUUCACUGGGUUUAAAGGGUGCGUACGCGGGUAGGUAAGUCAGAGGUGAAAUCCUGGAGCUUAACUCCAGAACUGCCUUUGAUACUAUCUAUCUUGAAUAUGGUGGAGGUAAGCGGAAUAUGUCAUGUAGCGGUGAAAUGCAUAUAUAUGACAUAAAACACCUAUUGCGAAGGCAGCUUACUACGCCUAUAUUGACGCUGACGCACGAAAGCGUGGGG